GAGCUUUGUUAAUCCAAAAAAGGUAGCAAAAUAAUUUCGGAUUUUAAUUGAAUUCUUGUAAUGAACGAAAUAAAUUAAAUAAAUUUUUAUAUUAUAAAAAGUGAAAUAAUAAGAUAAGUGAAAAUACUUUUAUUUAUUAAUAAAAAGAAAAGUCCCUGGAAAUUUAAAAUUUAUUGGGGUAAUAUUAAAAAUAUAAUUCUAAAAAAUUAAUAAAAAAUUAAUUCAGGGAUAACAGGGUAAUAAUUUGCUACAUCGAUGUUGUAUUAUUUUAAUGGGUUCAAAAAAUUCCAAAAUUAAGAUUGUUCAUCUAAGAAAAAAUA
RNAcentral lists this ribosomal RNA (320 nucleotides) under Dichromadora sp. Bremerhaven-10. Its description in RNAcentral is "partial large subunit ribosomal RNA". Lineage: Eukaryota; Metazoa; Nematoda; Chromadorea; Chromadorida; Chromadoridae. The record is from RNAcentral.